Molecule: ribosomal RNA, 583 nt
Filed under: uncultured bacterium
Lineage: Bacteria
Description: partial 16S ribosomal RNA
Rfam family: Bacterial small subunit ribosomal RNA
Source: RNAcentral
UAAGGAAUAUUGGUCAAUGGACGCAAGUCUGAACCAGCCAUGCCGCGUGAAGGAUGAAGGUCCUCUGGAUUGUAAACUUCUUUUAUAGGGGGCGAAAAAAGGGAAAUCUUUCUCACUUGACAGUACCCUAUGAAUAAGCACCGGCUAACUCCGUGCCAGCAGCCGCGGUAAUACGGAGGGUGCAAGCGUUAUCCGGAUUCACUGGGUUUAAAGGGUGCGUAGGCGGGCGUAUAAGUCAGUGGUGAAAUCCUGGAGCUUAACUCCAGAACUGCCAUUGAUACUAUAUGUCUUGAAUAUGGUGGAGGUAAGCGGAAUAUGUCAUGUAGCGGUGAAAUGCAUAGAUAUGACAUAGAACACCUAUUGCGAAGGCAGCUUACUACGCCUAUAUUGACGCUGAGGCACGAAAGCGUGGGGAUCAAAACAGGAUUAGAUACCCCUGGUAGUCCACGCCCUAAAACGAUGAUUACUCGACGUGUGCGAUAAACGGUACGCGUCUGAGCGAAAGCAUUAAGUAAUCCACCUGGGGAAGUACGACCGCAAGGUUGAAACUCAAAUGAAUUGACGGGGUCAUAGCUGUUUCCUG